AACGCACCUUGCACCAUGCGAGCAAUCGCAUGGUAUACCUGUUUGAGAAUCGUAAAACCCUCUCCUGCCCCAGUGGCGGGGACUUGCCGGUGGGCAUGCCUUGGCGUGCCCUCUGGUCAAAAGGAGCAGGCCGGACUGUGCUGGUGGUCCGGGACAUUGUGUGCUAGAGACACCGCCUCGGCGGACCGUCUUCUCACGAUGCGUCCCGGGCUAUCAAGCCAGCACAGCUGCGGCCUCCCAGUAGUGGGUCGGAUGGGACGUGCGGUUGGUGCGCCUUGGUGCGCCCCACACAACACACCCGUACGCACUACAACCCCCCUUUUUGAUCUCAAAUCAGGUAAGACUACCCGCUGAACUUAA
This 360-nucleotide unclassified non-coding RNA is filed under the name uncultured fungus. RNAcentral's name for it is "partial contains 5.8S ribosomal RNA, internal transcribed spacer 2, and large subunit ribosomal RNA". The record is from RNAcentral. Lineage: Eukaryota; Fungi.